This 497-nucleotide ribosomal RNA is filed under the name uncultured bacterium. RNAcentral describes it as "partial 16S ribosomal RNA". It matches the Rfam family "Bacterial small subunit ribosomal RNA", at positions 28 to 507 of the family's 1533-position model. The record is from RNAcentral.
GACGAACGCUGGCGGCGUGCCUAAUACAUGCAAGUAGAACGCUGAAGAGAGGAGCUUGCUCUUCUUGGAUGAGUUGCGAACGGGUGAGUAACGCGUAGGCAACCUGCCUUGUAGCGGGGGAUAACUAUUGGAAACGAUAGCUAAUACCGCAUAACAAUGGAUGACACAUGUCAUUUAUUUGAAAGGGGCAAUUGCUCCACUACAAGAUGGACCUGCGUUGUAUUAGCUAGUAGGUGAGGUAAUGGCUCACCUAGGCGACGAUACAUAGCCGACCUGAGAGGGUGAUCGGCCACACUGGGACUGAGACACGGCCCAGACUCCUACGGGAGGCAGCAGUAGGGAAUCUUCGGCAAUAGGGGCAACCCUGACCGAGCAACGCCGCGUGAGUGGAGAAGGUUUUCGGAUCGUAAAGCUCUGUUGUAAGUCAAGAACGGGUGUGAGAGUGGAAAGUUCACACUGUGACGGUAGCUUACCAGAAAGGGACGGCUAACUACGUG